AGUGAACGCUGGCGGCAGGCCUAACACAUGCAAGUCGAACGGCAGAACAGUAAGUGCUUGCUCUUACGGGGGGGGAGUGGCGGGCGGGGGAGGGAAACAUGGGAGUCAACUUUUUCGAGGGGGAGGAAGCGGGGGAAAAUACGCUAAAACUGCUUACGAACUAAGGGGGAGAGCAGGGGACCUUAGGCCAUUACAUGAGUCAAGGUCGGAUUAGCUAGUUGGUGGGGUAAAGGCCUACCAAGGCGACGAUCCGUAGCUGGUCUGAGAGGAUGAUCAGACACACUGGAACUGAGACACGGUCCAGACUCCUACGGGAGGCAGCAGUGGGGAAUAUUGGACAAUGGGCGCAAGCCUGAUCCAGCCAUACCGCGUGUGUGAAGAAGGUCUUCGGGUUGUAAAGCCCUUUUGGUUGGGAGGAAGAGCAGCAGGUUAAUACCUCGCUGUUCUGACGUUACCCACAGAAUAAGCACCGGCUAACUUCGUG
RNAcentral lists this ribosomal RNA (484 nucleotides) under uncultured bacterium. Its description in RNAcentral is "partial 16S ribosomal RNA". It matches the Rfam family "Bacterial small subunit ribosomal RNA", at positions 29 to 507 of the family's 1533-position model. The record is from RNAcentral.